Molecule: long non-coding RNA, 301 nt
Organism: Canis lupus familiaris (dog)
Lineage: Eukaryota; Metazoa; Chordata; Mammalia; Carnivora; Canidae
Exons: 3
Source: RefSeq, a predicted model, not a curated record
CGGGCAGGACGCCCCGCCCCCGCCCCCGCCCCCGCCCCCGGCAGGUUCCGUUCCAGAAGGUUCCCGGAGGUCCUGGGCUGAGCCCCCGGGGCUGGCAGCGCGACGUCCCUGACAGCAGGCCCAGGCACCGCGGGAAAUGAUGAUCCUCCUUGCUUUGCUCCUGCUCGUGGACCUGCCGAGGGUGGAGACAAAUGUCACCGUGUCAGGAACACAGGGCCUGCUGAGGUGUCAUGUUUGUGAGAAGGAGCAUAGUUUCAAAUGCCAGAAUCCAACAGAAUGUCCGGAGGGAAUACACUUGUGC